Podarcis raffonei (Aeolian wall lizard) is the source of this 2859-nucleotide long non-coding RNA. RefSeq lists it as uncharacterized. The record is from RefSeq and is a predicted model, not a curated record. NCBI's taxonomy places the organism in Eukaryota, Metazoa, Chordata, Lepidosauria, Squamata, Lacertidae. The transcript is spliced from 3 exons.
GUUGACUUGAGUCAUAGGAAUACAGGAAGCUGCCUUAUAUUAAGCCAGACCAUGGGUCAAUUUAGUUGAGUAAUUGUGUAUCUGUACUGACUGGCUAUGACUCUCCAGGGUUUAAGACAUAAAAGAGUUUCCUAGCCCUUCCUAAAGUUGCCAGGAUUCAAAGCUCAGACCUUCUACAAGCAAAGCAGCUGCUCUGAGCCACCAAGCUGAAGGCCCUUCCUCAAGGAACUUCUCUCGAAUCCCUUUGAGUUCAGUGGGACUUACUCCCAGGUAUGCGGUGUCAAGAUAUUCCUGUCUUGGGCCUAACUUGUGGUCCCAGCCUAAGUGUAAAAACUUCGGUUCAGCAAUUAUACCUAGUCUUCCGGCUGUGGUCUGGGAUCGUGAGCUAGCUGUCUCUGGCCCUCAAUUUCCAGCAGGCCCAAGAUUUACUGCACCUGUGUUAUCUACAGAAGCACAGUAUCUCAAGGAAGUACUGUACACGGUCGCUACUUGGAACAACGUAUUUCAGUUGUCCUGUCAUGGAGGCCAUUAUCAGACAGAGAGCCUGGAAAGUUACAAUUAAGAAGCCCUUUUCCUGGCUGAGGUGAGAGCAGAUGAUUGACAGAACAUGGAUUAUGUACCCCAGUGAGUUGACAAAUCAUAUAUAUGCAGCUUUCUUGAUGCACAUCAUUAAUGCAAACCCACAAGAAGUGUUGGAGUAGGAUUAUUCCCCAGGCUAAUCCAAAUUCUGUGCCAAGAACAAAUGAAUCCUGCAACCCAUAUGAGGUAUGCAAAUUAGGCAGAUUUGCAUAUAUUUUCUUAUUUUGUGCAUUUUAUUCUAAUUCUGCAACACAUGGGUUGGACAAAGGACUUUUUAGAGCAUGACAGUUUUAUCAUUUAAACCAUGGCUAACCAACAUGGGCCCCUCUAAAUGUUGUUUGACUGCAACGCACAUCAUCCAUGACCACUGACCAUGCUGAUGAGAGCUGAAGUCCAACAACAUCUGGAGGGCACCACAUUGGCUCCCCCUUAUGUGGAAACAUUCCUUUUGCCCAUUCAUUUUUCUGCCUCUUGACAUCUCACCAGACCUACCUAUUUCCAGGCUUAAUCUACGCAUUUAUUUAGACUGAAAAGCGACAUCAUAUGGUGAACUUUUUCGAAAUGUUGAGUUGUGCAGACAACUUGCUUGCACAGAAUCACAUCAUAUGCAUAACCUUGCUUUUCACCCCCCCCCAAAAAAGAUAAAUUGAGGACAAAGGAGUAGAGGUGGACUUAGGGGAGCACAGCCAGUUCACCCACAAUGGGCUCCAAGCCGAGAGGGCGCUGCAGGAGGCGACACAACAGUGACUUAGAAUCUAAGCUGAGAGGUGGUGUGCAUGUGCCAAAUUUUGGCAUUGCACUGAAAUUUCAGGUCCCAAAGUCUGCCACUGAAAGGAGGGUACUUCUUCACGCACAAUGCAUAAUUAACUUAAAUAAUUUGCUGACAAAAGAUGUGGUGGUGGCCUCAAGUUUAGAUGGCUGAAAAAAGGGAUAGGACAAAUUCAUGGACGAUAUGUUUCUCAUGAUAGCUAAGCAGAACCUCCUAGUGCAAGGGCAGUAUGGCAGCCGGAGCGCCAGUUGCUCAGGAACAACAGCAGGAGUGGUCUCUUGCCUUCAGGUCCUGCUUAUGGGCUUCCUAGAGGCAUCCAGGUAUGUACUUUGUGAAACAGGGUGCUGUAUCCUUACAUUCUUAUGCAGAGAUCCUUUAAUAUUGAACAAUGGCACACUGUUGUGCCAGAUGGGGAAAAUGUGGUGUUUAGCAGUCAAGCGUAAACGGUAUGUAAACCAAAUAGUAACAAAAACUGAUGUGCUCUAGAGCAGUUUGACUUCCUACGGAAAGGCAACGGGCAUAGUUUUAACAGGCAACAUGGGACCUAGAUCACCAAAUUGCAAUGUCUAGGUAAGAUGGAUGGGAGAGAAGCCUUCCUUGAUAGCUUUUUGAAAACACAGCCUUAUCCUAUUUGAAUUCCCCCACUUCUUUCUCUGUCUCUGGAGAAUGAUUGCUGGUGAUGCAGUUCAAAGUGAAAGCACUGGGGAUCUCUUGGAUGUUGGGAAUAGCAAGACCUCUGCGAGAAAUGCUGAUUAAUCUGAAAGGGGAAAUGAUAACAAAUGGAACCUGACUUUGACUUUUAAGAGGGCAAUAAGUCGUUGGAGGGUUUCCUUAAUGUGCCCUGGGAUGCCAAUGACUAGCAGCUGUUCAGAUCUCAUUUCCCUUCUGGUCUAACUGCGUUCUCAUCAGCAGCACAUUAAGCAGAAACGUACAACUUGGGUCUUAUGAACAGAAGGGAGCUUUCCCAGCAUAUCUGGCUCAACAGAAUGCUCGCAAAUGGCAGAAAACUUGGUUUCUAACAUCUGUUGGCAUCUUUGCUGGGCACAGCCAGCUGUUGAGGCAGAAUAUUUCGUGUGCUGAAAAAAUGAAUAAAAGGAAAAAACAAUGAAAUCCUUAAGCUCACAAGAGCCUUGCCAUUUCACACAUGUGAAAAAGUGUUCACUCAUUUCUGCAAAACCAUUCAAAUGUUUCAAAAAUAGAUUUGAGUUAUUUUUAAAAAUUAGCACAAUGUCAAUUUCAGUCGCGCUAUUGUGUCUGUUUUGUGCACAGAUGUCUGACGGAUGGUGGAAGUAUCUGCUGCUCUGCCAAAGGAAAAUGUUACAAGCUUCUGGGAUAUAGAAAGCCAGAAAACAAAUCCACUUUUUAAAAAAAGAAGAAGGGGGGACUUUAUUUUGACUUUGAGGAGCAGUGUUUUGAUGGUCUCAGCCAAACCUUGUGAAAAUGCUGUUGCCUUGUAAGCGUCCUUAAUUCCUCUGAGGGUAACUGAAGUUGGAUGUGUAAGUAAAUAUGUA